RNAcentral lists this ribosomal RNA (292 nucleotides) under uncultured bacterium. Its description in RNAcentral is "partial 16S ribosomal RNA". The record is from RNAcentral.
GGACUACUAGGGUAUCUAAUCCUGUUCGCUCCCCACGCUUUCGCUCCUCAGCGUCAGUACAGGCCCAGAGAACCGCCUUCGCCACCGGUGUUCCUCCCGAUAUCUGCGCAUUUCACCGCUACACCGGGAAUUCCGUUCUCCCCUACCUGCCUCCAGCCUGCCCGUAUCGAACGCAGACCCACAGUUGAGCCAUGGGCUUUCACGUCCGACGCGACAGGCCACCUACGAGCUCUUUACGCCCAAUAAUUCCGGACAACGCUUGCGCCCUACGUAUUACCGCGGCUGCUGGCAC